GACGGAGGAUGCAAGCGUUAUCCGGAAUUAUUGGGCGUAAAGCGUCCGUAGGUGGUUAUGUAAGUCUGUUGUUAAAGCCCGCAGCUCAACUGCGGAUUGGCAGUGGAAACUACAUGACUUGAGUGUGGUAGGGGUAGAGGGAAUUCCUAGUGUAGCGGUGAAAUGCGUAGAUAUUAGGAAGAACACCAGUGGCGAAGGCGCUCUACUGGGCCAUAACUGACACUGAUGGACGAAAGCUAGGGGAGCGAAAGGG
This 253-nucleotide ribosomal RNA is filed under the name uncultured bacterium. RNAcentral describes it as "partial 16S ribosomal RNA". It matches the Rfam family "Bacterial small subunit ribosomal RNA", at positions 524 to 776 of the family's 1533-position model. The record is from RNAcentral.